This 66-nucleotide transfer RNA is filed under the name Trichobilharzia regenti. It matches the Rfam family "tRNA". Rfam says of the family: Transfer RNA (tRNA) molecules are approximately 80 nucleotides in length. Their secondary structure includes four short double-helical elements and three loops (D, anti-codon, and T loops). The record is from Rfam by way of RNAcentral. Lineage: Eukaryota; Metazoa; Platyhelminthes; Trematoda; Strigeidida; Schistosomatidae.
CCAGUGGCUUAAUGGUAUAAGAGCUCGCCUUAUAACCGAAAGGUCCUGGGUUCGAACCCUGGCUGG